GUCAACAACAGUCUACUGUCCAUUAACUGCUACCAUAUCAAACACCUAGCAUAUUGAAAACAUUUUAUUGGUUUGUUUUGCAAGUGACUAGGAAUGGGUUUUUUCUCAGUCGGAUGUGUGGCACAGAGAGGGACCAGCAACACAAGCAGACACAGGAGACCAACUCGGGUGGUGAGGCUUCAGUAGCUCAGACGGGUAUGAUGGGGUGAGGCUGUGAAGACCACAGUAGCACAGUGUGUCCAUCUUGUCAUUAGUGUGAGCUCGGACUAGCAGCCAAGGAAGUUCGCAGAGGAAGGUAUAGCAUUGCUUGCUUUUUGCCUUCUGAAGACAGGAUAAAUGGUGCACACAUCGGUUUAUUUGCAAAGAAGAACUUCAGUUUUGUCGUCAUUCAUUUUCAAUUUGUUGAUGGACAUCCAAGCUUUCACAGAGUCUGUUGUGUGUUGUGUGAGUUGGACAGCGAGGUCACACACCAGCAUCUGUGUAUCAUCAGCAGGACCAAGUAGUGGAUGAUGGAAUCGAGUGGUUAGAUGUACACGAUGAGGCACAAGACCAGCCCUGAUGCAUCCCAAACUUUACAGAAGCAGGUAAAGAUGAGGUGUCUACAACUACUACAGACUAGGUGCAAUGUGUAGAACCGGAACAGUGCGAGAAGACUAAAAACAACACGAAGGCAUUGGAGAAGGAUGUUGUGGUCGAGGGUAUCAACCGCCAACAGAUCCAGCUUCGACAGUAAAAUAAUUGUGAUCAUGUCUCAAGCAGAGAACAAGUCAGGGACCACUCGCAGCACACCAGUCUCAGUCGAAUAAUUCUCACGAUAGGCUGACGGAAAAUGAUUCAAGUAGAUUAUUGAUGGAGAAACAAUCGAGGAACUUUUCAAGUACUUUUGACAGGAAAAGGUGGAUCAGAAACGGCGAUAGUUUUUGGGUCAUUAAGGUUGAAGCUGGAGUGUGUGGUGAUGACAGUAUGUUAACGAGGGCACAGCACCAGUCGACACGAAGUGGUUGAUAAUACAAGUGAUGGAAUCAUUAAGUCAAGGCACAUAUGCAGGAGAGACAGAAGAGGGUCGAGAGCAGGGUUUCUUCAGAGAGUUGUGAUGAUCUCUCUUGACUUGAGAUUUGACAGGCACAAACUCCAUUAAAGGCGUUCCAGAGAAAACAUCAAAACUAGGGUUGUGAGACCGUUGGUCCAUCCCUGCCCUGAGAGUAUCGAAUUGCCCCAUAAAGUAUUUGCAAGUGUCCUACAGGCAUUGUAGUAGACAAGGUAGAAGCAAUUGUUUACUCGCCUAACAUAUGGCCCACAAUCGCAGACAAAUUGAUGAACAUUGUUGUAAUUUCCCAUCUGUGUAAUCUUUGAAGAAAUCAUCAAGUGCUUUGUGAUCUUCCAGUGUCGCAGAUACAUUUUUCUGUGAACUGCGAGAUCCAUCUUUUCCCAUCGGCAUUCAACGCCACAUCAACUCUUCUUUUCUUUUUUUUACCCCGGGGUUGAGCCAUGAGGCAGAAGGGAGAUCAGAGACAUAGCAGGUGGAGAGAGAAGCAUGCCUACAAAGGACAGCAGACAGCGAGUAGACACCAUGACCACAGGACAAAGGAUAGCAGAUAGUAAAAGAUUGUCAACAAGCUUAUGAGAAGACAUCAUGAGAGCAGGACAUGACCAAUACAUGGCCAACAUGGCGUCUGGCCCAAAACCAAUCGGUUUCAAAUUGCACCAGGCUCAUGCAGAUGGCAGAGGUGUGGAAUUUGAGGUGGCAAAGAAAGGUGCUUCCGGCUAAAAUGGACUGUCUAGUGCGGUGUAAGGAGAUGAGGCAGCCAUGAUGACUCGGUCUGAAGUGCGAGACUCCCACUCCCCGUCUUGCCACUUGCAAUGUGUGGAGCAAUGAUGGCGGUCUGUGUACAUCCGGUCUGCAGUGUCGUCGCAAUCUUUAUCUGUCACACAAUACCUGAAAGAUGGCGGCUAGUAUUCCCAGAUUCUCCUGACAGACAGAAGGCGGGACGGACAGACACGAAGAGACAAACAACGAAGACGACAGAUCGAGAAAAAUCAGCAAUUGCCAUUCUGUAUUCAGCAAGCAGUCCAUUGUUUACAUUAGUAAAGCAGGAUCAGCACUCUUGGAGAGACAUGUACAGAUUAUGGCUUCAUAAUUAACCAUAGCCAUUGCCGCUGUUGCGAUCCUGAUACGAAACCUGUUGUGCCAUAAAUAGUAUGGACAAUAACCGAGGAAGAGGAGGAGGGAUUAUGUGUCGGAAAUAGCCACAACGACCACGGAGAUGUCAGAAAUUGCAAAAAAAAAAAAAAUAUCAGAAAGAGCCAACAGACCCAAGAACAGAACAUUGACCGAAACGUUGCACUGGAAUCCUGCUCGGGCCAAGGACAACAAAGCCUCAGACACAGGAAACAGAAUGUCCACUUUACUGAGGAGAAUUGGUGUAGGAAAUGCAGAGUCAGUGUUGAAGAAAGUGUAAAUGCGAACGUCAGACGAAGAAUCAUUGUCAGUCGAUAUCGGAGGAAGACAUGGCAUUACAGAAGGACGACGACGAGAAUAAUGAUGAUGUCAAGUUGACCAUCCUAUACUCCCACCCCUGAAUGCCCCCCCACACACCCUACAGGUGGCGGCCAGCAGCAGAGGCGACAUACUUGAUGACACGAACGUUCUGUUAUCGCCGUUCUUAUCCACGCUGUCGCUGGUGGUCUGACGAGGGCUACGGGCCUGAACGAUGACCUAUUUGCCCUGUCACGUUGGCCGGCCCCACACCCCCGCAUAACAUUGGAUAACAAACACCGCCUGAUUCUCGGGGUUUCGACCCACCUCAAAACAGAACAACACUCAACACUUGACCUGAUUACGCCGUCAUCCUCAUGCCCACUCCCCUGGCCCCCCACCUGGCCCUACCGGUGCCCAGAGACCGAAGCUCCAGCAGUGACGCCUGGCGGUAAACAGGCUAAUGGUGUCAAGGCAAGGUCGUUUAGGUCAUCAGGCUUCUGCGACGUGUGACGACGACGACGCCUGUUGGUGCCGCCGCUUGCAAAACGAGGUCACGUAGAUAACACUACAGGGUGUGACGGAACUUGCUCUGACAGUCGAAGCUGUCAUUACACGGACCUUGUGUAGGCCGGUAGGUUGAACUUUUGGAAAAGGAUAAGGGGUGUGGGGUGAAGAGGUUUCGAUUGCAUGAAGACAGGGUGGAGGGUGCGAGGGUGAAAGGGCGUGGGCGUGGAGGGUGCAGGGCAAGGAGUGUCCAUGACUUAACCUAGACGAGGAAUGUCAGACACUUGCUGUAAACAAGUGUGUUUGUGUGAAGUAAUGGUUAGUGUUGCGUGUCAGUAGCAAUCAUACACAAUAAUCUGUCAAUGGCUGUAAUAAAAAAUGUUUUCAAAAUA
Molecule: long non-coding RNA, 3375 nt
Organism: Pomacea canaliculata
Lineage: Eukaryota; Metazoa; Mollusca; Gastropoda; Architaenioglossa; Ampullariidae
Exons: 2
Source: RefSeq, a predicted model, not a curated record